Molecule: ribosomal RNA, 468 nt
Filed under: uncultured bacterium
Lineage: Bacteria
Description: partial 16S ribosomal RNA
Rfam family: Bacterial small subunit ribosomal RNA (bases 13-373)
Source: RNAcentral
GACGAACGCUGGCGGCGUGCUUAACACAUGCAAGUCGAACGGAAAGGCCCUGCUUUUGUGGGGUGCUCGAGUGGCGAACGGGUGAGUAACACGUGAGUAACCUGCCCUUGACUUUGGGAUAACUUCAGGAAACUGGGGCUAAUACCGGAUAGGAGCUCCUGCUGCAUGGUGGGGGUUGGAAAGUUUCGGCGGUUGGGGAUGGACUCGCGGCUUAUCAGCUUGUUGGUGGGGUAGUGGCUUACCAAGGCUUUGACGGGUAGCCGGCCUGAGAGGGUGACCGGCCAAAAUGGGACUGGGGUGACGGCCCAGAUCCCUAGGGGAGGAAGAGUGGGGGAUUAUGGCACAGGGGCCGAAAGCUGAAUCAGGCACGGCGGGGGGGGGGAGGAGGGCUUCGGGUUUGGAAACGGUUUUGGCCGGGGAGAAGGGUGAGUGACGGGAAUGGGUUAAAGAGGCCCGGGUUACUUAGGG